Molecule: ribosomal RNA, 105 nt
Filed under: Vibrio alginolyticus
Lineage: Bacteria; Pseudomonadati; Pseudomonadota; Gammaproteobacteria; Vibrionales; Vibrionaceae
Also listed under: 1 other name
Description: partial 23S ribosomal RNA
Rfam family: Bacterial large subunit ribosomal RNA
Source: RNAcentral
AGUAUCCUAAAGGGUUGUCGUAGACUACGACGUUGAUAGGCAGGGUGUGUAAGCGUUGUGAGGCGUUGAGCUAACCUGUACUAAUUGCCCGUGAGGCUUAACCAU